GUACGUAUCAUGUUUGUUACACUUCCUCGUUCAGAAUGUAAAUCUGUAACCUUGACGCUGCUGCUCCAUCUUUCCCAUCUGACGAGAUCUAACUCACUGGAGUCAAUUCUUCCUCUUUUGGUUUGGGAUUCCAGGGUCAUCCCCCUCUCCUUCCACCACUCCCAACCCUGUGUGACCCCCACCCGCCCGGGAUGCUCAUCCUGUUUCCUAUAGUUUCCUCUUCCCUGCAGACAGGAAAAGGCUGGAACCCACGGACGCAAACGCGGUGGGGGGAGCAGUCAGGAAGUGAUUUCACUGCAGCACCUGCAACCAGGAAAUAGAACAACCCCGUCAGGGGAGGCGGAGGCGCGGGCUGUAUGGGCUCGCACAUUCAGAGUAUAUAUCCAGACACAAACAAGCACUGAACCCACAAGCACCCCGUGACUUCCCCUACAGCUGUUGGCAUUGAAACUGCAAGACAGGAAACCGAGUGUGAACACGAUUCUGUCUGUUUGUGCACACGCGCUCUCUGACAAGUCAACUGUGAACAUAAGUUGAAGCAGAGGAAACACUGAAGCAAAUGUGCAAUGUUUUUCUUUUUGUUUCAUGGGCGGGCUGGACUGAGGGAAACAAAGAUCAUCAGCAGAUCUGUAACUCAUUUAAGGGAUGGCGGAGGGGAUCAGGGGAAGCGAUUUUGUAUUUAUAUUGCAUUUAGACCUUCCUGAAAUGCUACAGGUGACCUAAAAGUCCUAAUUUAAUUGACUUUUUUCCAGCAGUCUGAUUUCUUAUUGGUUGAAGAAUUGGCAAAAUGUGCAAAGGUAAUGGGGAGUAAUAGCCAAGUUUGGAGUCCAUACAGCUAUGAUGCUGGAUAAGACAAAUCUUUCUAGUUUCUAUUUUGUUAAACAGAUGUUUUAGGAUUUACAUUUUCAUUUUUUAACAAAGUUUAAAUAAAACUUGAAUCUGGUGUUCUUUGCUUUGGGUUUCAAGUGUUUCUUAACAAAAAAGCUUCAAAGUAUUAAAGAGUUUGAGAUUCACCUUUUGCUUAAUCCCUGACAGUAAGAGCUGGUACCACAGUAGAUCCAAACAAUGGGAAUAGAAUACUAAGGUGUGGCUAAAGAUUUAUUGGGUUGGACAUUAACUGGCCUUGUGGCUGUAAAAAGCAAUAAAACCCUUUGCUAGUAAGAAGCUCACAAAGAGUAUUUUUUAGCAUAAAUAUAAACAAAUACAAAUCCACCAAAAGUGAUAUUUGGCCAGCAGGAAAUUUUUAAGGUAAUUUUAACUGGCCAGGGGAUGGAAAAAAAAAGAUUUAAAAUAUUAUUAAAAUGUUGUGCUUUUUCAAAGGUUUAUUCUGAACAUGAUAAAUCGUUAUUCUUACUAAAUUUGCAGUUCAGUACAAGUUAAGAUGCAUUUUAAAUCCUUUCAUGCUCAAUUUUAAGAUUUCAAACCAUCGAGAAACCUAGUUUGGAAGUUCCAGGUCAACAUCAGUGGCUAUUUUUUCUACUUUUACAGUUGUGUCAUUAUGCAUUGGUCUCCUAUAUUAUGUGUGUUUUUUUUCUCUGUUUUUCUAUGAUGGUUCACCUUUUCCCCCCAUUUUCUUAAAUAUUCUCUUCACUACAUUUGUGGAUGCACUGGAAUUUCUAUGCUUCGGUCCAUCAUGUUGUGAUGAUUAAAGUCAGAAACUAUUGAAGGGAAGGGGUUAGAAACGUAGGGGUGGAGCUAAAUUAAAAAAAAAAAGAGCAAGGAGGAAGACACUGAAACAGCUUCUUCCCUCUAUUGUCAUGGGGAAUGCAACAUCACAGGAAAAUAAAGUGAAUGAGCUCUGAGCACCGACAGAGCCACAGGUGGAUUAAUGGUAAUGUCAUGUUGUACCUGUAGCGGAUGCCUCUUGGAGCAGCUUUACAGAUCACUGAACAGUAUUUGUCUUUAUUGCACAACUUAUUUCUAUGAGGGAAAAAAAACACAAAAAUUUCAAAUAAAACCAACUUGAAGCACA
Oryzias latipes (Japanese medaka) is the source of this 1972-nucleotide long non-coding RNA. RefSeq lists it as uncharacterized. NCBI's taxonomy places the organism in Eukaryota, Metazoa, Chordata, Actinopteri, Beloniformes, Adrianichthyidae. The record is from RefSeq and is a predicted model, not a curated record.